Ricinus communis (castor bean) is the source of this 107-nucleotide non-coding RNA. The record is from Rfam. Lineage: Eukaryota; Viridiplantae; Streptophyta; Magnoliopsida; Malpighiales; Euphorbiaceae.
AGACCAUGGUGUGGACAGCCUCUUAAAAAAUCCUUGAACUACUCCCAAUAGUCAUACGAGAUUUCAUUCUUCUGUUGAAGAAAACUUGUUAUAUCAUUCCUCAGCUU